CAAAUUGGAGCUUGUAGAAAGCAUUUUAGUUACAUUAAAAAGAAUACUGUAAUUUAGUAUAAUUUGA
RNAcentral lists this transfer RNA (67 nucleotides) under Bradybatus kellneri. RNAcentral's name for it is "tRNA-Val". The record is from RNAcentral. Lineage: Eukaryota; Metazoa; Arthropoda; Insecta; Coleoptera; Curculionidae.